RNAcentral lists this ribosomal RNA (346 nucleotides) under Escherichia coli LAU-EC6. RNAcentral's name for it is "bacterial SSU rRNA". It matches the Rfam family "Bacterial small subunit ribosomal RNA", at positions 1 to 341 of the family's 1533-position model. The record is from RNAcentral. Lineage: Bacteria; Pseudomonadati; Pseudomonadota; Gammaproteobacteria; Enterobacterales; Enterobacteriaceae.
UUAAAUUGAAGAGUUUGAUCAUGGCUCAGAUUGAACGCUGGCGGCAGGCCUAACACAUGCAAGUCGAACGGUAACAGGAAACAGCUUGCUGUUUCGCUGACGAGUGGCGGACGGGUGAGUAAUGUCUGGGAAACUGCCUGAUGGAGGGGGAUAACUACUGGAAACGGUAGCUAAUACCGCAUAACGUCGCAAGACCAAAGAGGGGGACCUUCGGGCCUCUUGCCAUCGGAUGUGCCCAGAUGGGAUUAGCUAGUAGGUGGGGUAAAGGCUCACCUAGGCGACGAUCCCUAGCUGGUCUGAGAGGAUGACCAGCCACACUGGAACUGAGACACGGUCCAGACUCCUA